Molecule: long non-coding RNA, 1006 nt
Filed under: Vulpes vulpes (red fox)
Lineage: Eukaryota; Metazoa; Chordata; Mammalia; Carnivora; Canidae
Description: lncRNA (ENSVVUG00000007721.1)
Source: RNAcentral
AUGACUGGUGUCCUUGUAAGAGACAGAAGGGGAGACACAGACACAGAGGAGAAACCAUGGGAUGGUGGAGGCAGAGAUGGGAGGGACACAGCCACCAGCCCUGGGACGUCUGGAGCCCCAGAUGCUGGAAGAGGCAGGAAGGACUCUGGUGUACAUUGCCCUCAAAGUUUGUGCUGGGUGGGAAUCGUGACAUCCCAACAGAACAUGUUCCAUCCUUUCUCCAUAUCCAAACCACCUUGAAUUAUUGUGCGUAGCACUAUGGCAGCCUUGUUCCCUCUGCGCUUUUUGCUCUGGGGUCUCGGAACACUUAAGACACUCUGUGAAACAAAACAUCCUUUGAAGCUGCAUCUACCAUUUCUGGAAAUUAAAGUAGUAUCCUCCUCCUUAGAGAUAUUACUGGCAACACAUGGCUUGGGGAAAGUCUUUCCCUAAAAUCUAAAUGCUCCAAAACCUAUAGCACCAAGUGGUUUAUGCCCUUGCCCAACUAAUCCAUUCAAAGUUCUGGUCAACUACCAAACUUUGGUCACAUCUGUUGACUACUGAUCACUUUUUCGAAUACAUAGAGUACUGGAUUUCUUUCACAACACAGGCUCGUUGAAAAAUGAGAUCCCUACGUCUUCCGUUGUAUGCACCUGCGCUUCCUACGUGGCUAAAUCAUUCCCACCUUUGUGGAUUAUUGGUUAAUUCAUUCUGUUCUGUGUGAAUUAUCUCUCAUUUUCCUAUGCUUUCCGUAAGUAUCUUCAGAUGCCUUCCUUUCUACGUCUGCUAUGUCAACUCUUCCUGCAACGUCCAGUUCACGUACUACGUCAGGAUUGGGUCUUGGUCAUUUAGUCUACUGAGAAAUCUGCUAUCCCUAGAGUCUUAAACAGCAAUUGCUCUUUGUACCACGACGUCUAGGAUGCAAUUAAAUGUCCGUUAAUCUUACGAUAAUAGGCCUGCAGUGGUUUCAGAAACAAAUCCUCAUUAGAGCCAAUAAAUACCCUUUCUCAUAGGGGAUACGAAGGCA